UACAGAGGUCUCAAGCGUUGUUCGGAUUCAUUGGGCGUAAAGGGUGCGCAGGCGGCCGAGUGUGUGAGGCGUGAAAGCCCGGGGCUUAACCCCGGAAUUGCACCUCAAACUACACGGCUAGAGCAUUGGAGAGGGUAGCAGAAUUCAUGGUGUAGCAGUGAAAUGCGUAGAUAUCAUGAGGAAUACCAGAGGCGAAGGCGGCUACCUGGACAAUUGCUGACGCUCAGGCACGAAAGCGUGGGGAGCAAAAGGG
RNAcentral lists this ribosomal RNA (253 nucleotides) under uncultured bacterium. RNAcentral describes it as "partial 16S ribosomal RNA". It matches the Rfam family "Bacterial small subunit ribosomal RNA", at positions 524 to 776 of the family's 1533-position model. The record is from RNAcentral.